This 496-nucleotide ribosomal RNA is filed under the name uncultured bacterium. Its description in RNAcentral is "partial 16S ribosomal RNA". It matches the Rfam family "Bacterial small subunit ribosomal RNA", at positions 29 to 507 of the family's 1533-position model. The record is from RNAcentral.
AUGCACGCUGGCGGCGUGCCUAAUCCCUGCAAGUCGAGCGAACAGACGAGGAGCUUGCUCCUCUGACGUUAGCAGCGGACGGGUGAGUAACACGUGGAUAACCUACCUAUAAGACUGGGAUAACUUCGGGAAACCGGAGAUAAUACCGGACAAUAUAUUGAACCGCAUGGUUCAAUAGUGAAAGACGGUUUUGCUUUCACUUAUAGCCGGAUCCGCGCGGCAUUAGCUAGUUGGUAAGGUAACGGCUUACCAAGGCAACGAUGCGUAGGCGACCUGAGAGGGUGAUCGGCCGCACUGGAACUGAGACGCGGUCCAGACUCCUACGGGAGGCAGCAGUAGGGAAUCUUCCGCAAUGGGCGAAAGCCUUACGGAACAACGCCGCGUGAGUGAUGAAGGUCUUCGGAUCGUAAAACUCUGUUAUGAGUGAAGAACAAAUGUGUAAGUAACUAUGCACGUCUUGACGGUACCUAAUCAGAAAGCCACGGCUAACUACGUG